Molecule: long non-coding RNA, 162 nt
Organism: Perognathus longimembris pacificus (Pacific pocket mouse)
Lineage: Eukaryota; Metazoa; Chordata; Mammalia; Rodentia; Heteromyidae
Exons: 3
Source: RefSeq, a predicted model, not a curated record
CUGUCCAUCCAUCCAUCCAUCCAUCCAUCCACAUUUUACCCUUUUUAAGGAACUUUAUUUCAAGUGAUACUUCCCUAGAAGUGGCCCCGUUACCAUGGAGCCUUCUUAAAGGCACUUUAAGGAAUUUGCUUGAUUGUCAUUGUAGAUGUCUUGUUUUUUACA